Molecule: ribosomal RNA, 465 nt
Filed under: uncultured bacterium
Lineage: Bacteria
Description: partial 16S ribosomal RNA
Rfam family: Bacterial small subunit ribosomal RNA
Source: RNAcentral
GAACGCUGGCGGCGUGCUUAACACAUGCAAGUCGAACGGAAAGGCCCUGCUUUUGUGGGGUGCUCGAGUGGCGAACGGGUGAGUAACACGUGAGUAACCUGCCCUUGACUUUGGGAUAACUUCAGGAAACUGGGGCUAAUACCGGAUAGGAGCUCCUGCUGCAUGGUGGGGGUUGGAAAGUUUCGGCGGUUGGGGAUGGACUCGCGGCUUAUCAGCUUGUUGGUGGGGUAGUGGCUUACCAAGGCUUUGACGGGUAGCCGGCCUGAGAGGGUGACCGGCCACAUUGGGACUGAGAUACGGCCCAAACUCCUACGGGAGGCAGCAGUGGGGAAUAUUGCACAAUGGGCGGAAGCCUGAUGCAGCAACGCCGCGUGCGGGAUGACGGCCUUCGGGUUGUAAACCGCUUUCGCCUGUGACGAAGCGUGAGUGACGGUAAUGGGUAAAGAAGCACCGGCUAACUACGUG